GGGGGCGGAUGAGUCCCGGUGGGCUUCGCGGACUUCAAAUCCGUUGGGGGGCAUAAGAAGUGUCUUCGGUGGGUUCGACUCCCAUGCGCUCCCGCCA
This 97-nucleotide transfer RNA is filed under the name subsurface metagenome. RNAcentral's name for it is "tRNA-Sec". It matches the Rfam family "Selenocysteine transfer RNA". The record is from RNAcentral.